UAGUCCACGCUGUAAACGAUGUCUACUUGGAGGUUGUUGUCUUGAAUGAUGGCUUUCGGAGCUAACGCGUUAAGUAGACCGCCUGGGGAGUACGGCCGCAAGGUUAAAACUCAAAUGAAUUGACGGGGGCCCGCACAAGCGGUGGAGCAUGUGGUUUAAUUCGAUGCAACGCGAAGAACCUUACCUACUCGUUGACAUCUACAGAAGCCAGCGGAGACGCAGGUGUGCCUUCGGGAGCUCUGAGACAGGUGCUGCAUGGCUGUCGUCAGCUCGUGUUGUGAAAUGUUGGGUUAAGUCCCGCAACGAGCGCAACCCUUAUCCUUGUUUGCCAGCGAGUAAUGUCGGGAACUCCAGGGANACUGCCGGUGAUAAACCGGAGGAAGGUGGGGACGACGUCAAGUCAUCAUGGCCCUUACGAGUAGGGCUACACACGUACUACAAUGGCAGAUACAAACCGUUUGCAAAGCCGCGAGGUUGAGCUAAUCGGUAAAACACUAGUCCCAGUCCGGAUUGG
RNAcentral lists this ribosomal RNA (514 nucleotides) under uncultured bacterium. RNAcentral's name for it is "bacterial SSU rRNA". It matches the Rfam family "Bacterial small subunit ribosomal RNA", at positions 791 to 1301 of the family's 1533-position model. The record is from RNAcentral.